Molecule: long non-coding RNA, 1331 nt
Organism: Hydra vulgaris (swiftwater hydra)
Lineage: Eukaryota; Metazoa; Cnidaria; Hydrozoa; Anthoathecata; Hydridae
Source: RefSeq, a predicted model, not a curated record
UUUUUUUAUAACAAAAUCAAAUGGCAAUAACCAAACUUAUACCUCGAGUAAAAAUGUCAACACAAAUUGAAACAAUCGUGAUUGUCGAUGAUGAAUUAGAAUUUUAUCCGCAUGAUUUUACGAAAAAAGAGUUUUUUAAUUUUUAGAUGAAAAAACUCAAGAACAAAACAAUACAAAUGAAAAUAAUAAAAAGAAAGAGAAAGAUGAUAAGGGCACACAUUUUCAAAUUAGUAAACCACAGAAAAAAAUAAAGAGUAAAGCAAAAAAGAGACGGAACCAUCAAAGAACUAUUAAAUUUAUAUAUAAUAGACAUUUUAAAAAGUUUUGAUUACUUGCAAUCAAAUUUAAAAUAAUUAAAUAUAUUUUAUUAUUGUUUAUUUGUUUUUUCUUUUUUAUAACGCUGCGUUUCUUUUGUGAAAAUUUGCACAUUGUUUGGACAGUUACACGUGUAUUAUUGAAGCCAUUGAUAACGAUUAUAAAAAAACUAAGAUAAAAUAUGUCGAGUACUUACUUUAUAUUUUCAAGCUAAUCCAGAAGAAAAAUUUAAUCCUCAAGUUAUAUUAAUAACUUUACGGAGAUGGUUGAAUGACGAACAAAAAAGAAAUAAUUCUAAUAAUUCUAAAAUAAUACAAAAUCUUGAAUUAAUUAUAAAAGUCAAGAACCAUGUAGAAACACUCAUGGAAGCUUUGUUUGUCGAUGAUAACUCAGUAUUCAAUUUAAAAAAUAUUGAUGUCGUAGACGAGAAAGAAGAAUAUGAUAUGGAUAAUGUUAAUGAUAAUGAUAUGGAUGAUUAUAAUGGUGAAGAUGAUGUUGAGGAUAUGGAAUGGAGUGUUAAUGAAGAAAUUAUAGACAAUAAAAACUAAAAAUUUGAUGACUGAAAAAACAAUCAACUCAAUGCAAACCUAUUAUGGAAAAGCUAUAAGAAGCAACUUAAACAAUGUCUAUGCCAUGAAAAAAGCAAUCUUUUCAGUGUUGUUUCACUGUACUGAGUUUACUGAUGAGAACCAGCGGCUUUGAAUGUGUUCAGUUUUAGGACAUUUUGGCUUACAUGGAAAGGCAACUGCUGAAAAAUCUAUUGCACGAGAUCACCAACGUGUUACUAGAAUUGUGUUACAAAUCUCUCAAAAGAAACAAAGCUACGGGUGCGGACGAAAUAAAUGGCAACAUAGUCAUAGAUUGCUUUGAAAACUUAAAAUGUAUUCUUUAUAAAGUUUUUAGGGUAUCUAAUUAUCGCCCUAUCUCAGUUCUUUCAAUUUUCUCAAAAUUUUUAGAAAGAAUUAUAUAUAAUAGAACAUACAAUUACCUUAAUCUAAAUAAACUUCUCAAUAAAA